UGCCAGCAGCCGCGGUAAUACGAAUGGAGCGAGCGUUGUUCGGAAUCCUUGGGCGUAAAGCGUAUGUAGGCGGACUUGAAAGUCAGAAGUGAAAUCCCGGGGCUCAACCUCGGAAUUGCUUUUGAAACUCCAAGUCUAGUGUCCCGGAGGGGUUGACGGAAUUCCUAGUGUAGAGGUGAAAUUCGCAGAUAUUAGGAGGAACACCAGUGGCGUCGGCGGUCAACUGGACGGGUACAGACGCUGAGGUGCGAAAGCGUGGGGAGCAAACAGGAUUAGAUA
Molecule: ribosomal RNA, 279 nt
Filed under: uncultured bacterium
Lineage: Bacteria
Description: partial 16S ribosomal RNA
Rfam family: Bacterial small subunit ribosomal RNA
Source: RNAcentral